Molecule: small nucleolar RNA, 106 nt
Filed under: Olea europaea subsp. europaea
Lineage: Eukaryota; Viridiplantae; Streptophyta; Magnoliopsida; Lamiales; Oleaceae
Description: Plant small nucleolar RNA R71
Rfam family: Plant small nucleolar RNA R71
About the family: R71 is a member of the C/D box family of snoRNAs containing the C (UGAUGA) and D (CUGA) box motifs.
Source: Rfam by way of RNAcentral
AUAUGAUGAUGGGGGCAGUUUGUACAUAACUUCUUGAAACGCUUCCAAUAUUCAUGUAGGGAUUCUAUGCCUUUCUGUCUUACACCACAAAUUUCUUUUCAAAUGU